RNAcentral lists this ribosomal RNA (393 nucleotides) under uncultured bacterium. RNAcentral's name for it is "partial 16S ribosomal RNA". It matches the Rfam family "Bacterial small subunit ribosomal RNA", at positions 338 to 729 of the family's 1533-position model. The record is from RNAcentral.
CCUACGGGUGGCUGCAGUGAGGAAUAUUGGUCAAUGGCCGCGAGCCUGAACCAGCCAAGUCGCGUGAGGGAUGACUGUCCUAUGGAUUGUAAACCUCUUUUAUCAAGGAGCAAAGUGCGGCACGUGUGGCUCUUUGCGUGUACUUUAUGAAUAAGCAUCGGCUAACUCCGUGCCAGCAGCCGCGGUAAUACGGAGGAUCCGAGCGUUAUCCGGAUUUAUUGGGUUAAAAGGGUGCGUAGGCGGUAUGUAAAGUCAGUGGUAAAAUUUGGGGGCUCAACCCCGUAGUGCCAUUGAAACUGGCGUUCUUGAGUGAAGGAGAGGUAUGCGGAAUGCGUGGUGUAGCGGUGAAAUGCAUAGAUAUCACGAAGAACUCCGAUUGCGAAGGCAGCCUAC